Molecule: ribosomal RNA, 322 nt
Filed under: uncultured eukaryote
Lineage: Eukaryota
Description: partial 18S ribosomal RNA
Rfam family: Eukaryotic small subunit ribosomal RNA
Source: RNAcentral
CCCUUAGAUGUUCUGGGCCGCACGCGCGCUACACUGAUGCAUUCAACGAGUGUACCUUGGCCGAGAGGCCUGGGCAAUCUUUUGAACGUGCAUCGUGAUAGGGAUAGAUUAUUGCAAUUAUUAAUCUUGAACGAGGAAUUCCUAGUAAACGCAGAUCAUCAAUCUGCAUUGAUUACGUCCCUGCCCUUUGUACACACCGUCCGUCGCACCUACCGAUUGGAUGGUCCGGUGAAGCCUCGGGAUUGUGGCGGUUGCCUUUAUUGGUGGCCGCCGCGAGAACUUGUCUAAACCUUAUCAUCUAGAGGAAGGUGAANUCGUANCA